UACGUAGGGUGCAGGCGUUAAUCGGAAUUACUGGGCGUAAAGCGUGCGCAGGCGGCCUCUUAAGUCAGAUGUGAAAUCCCCGGGCUUAACCUGGGAACUGCGUUUGAAACUGGGAGGCUAGAGUGUGGAAGAGGGGGGUGGAAUUCCAGGUGUAGCAGUGAAAUGCGUAGAUAUCGGGAGGAACACCUGUGGCGAAGGCGACCCCCUGGUUGGAUACUGACGCUGAGACGCGAAAGCGUGGGGAGCAAACAGG
RNAcentral lists this ribosomal RNA (253 nucleotides) under uncultured bacterium. RNAcentral's name for it is "partial 16S ribosomal RNA". It matches the Rfam family "Bacterial small subunit ribosomal RNA", at positions 524 to 776 of the family's 1533-position model. The record is from RNAcentral.